CUAUUUCUACAGAAGAAUGUUUUCUUAAUUCCUAACAACUAGUUCUUGACAAUCUUCAAACCAAAGUCAACCCUACCUUUUCUACCCAUAUUUUAAUAGUGGUGUUUCAGGCUCCAUAGGACCCUGGUGAGGAAGAAACUUCUUCCUCUGCCCUCAAACCCCACACACAACUGGAAUUUCUGCUCUCACUUCCUGUCCCUCCCCCUCAGCCAGGACACAGUUUUCUAAGAAAGUUCUGGAACAUCUCAGUCCAACACAGCUUUUUGAAUGUAUAUCUCCCUUAAUGGAACAAAUCAUCAUAAAGAGCAUCCCUGAAGUUUGUCAAAAUGAUGAAUGUCUCCCAGGUAUGGAGAUGGAGGCCUGGAGGGCAGUUGAGCAUUGUGGAGAUGCUGAGCCCAGGGAAUCCCAGCACUUUCCUAAACCUACACCAUCCGCAGUAGAAUUUGAAUUCGGAGCUUCUGACUCCUACACCAGGUCCUGCCCUCCUCACACAUUUCUUGGAAGAUGGAGGCUAUAUUUCCUCCAGGGUCCACUA
This 535-nucleotide long non-coding RNA is filed under the name Fukomys damarensis (Damara mole-rat). RNAcentral describes it as "lncRNA (ENSFDAG00000028003.1)". Lineage: Eukaryota; Metazoa; Chordata; Mammalia; Rodentia; Bathyergidae. The record is from RNAcentral.